GGAAUUUUCCGCAAUGGGCGCAAGCCUGACGGAGCAACGCCGCGUGCGGGAGGACGCCCUUCGGGGUGUAAACCGCUUUUCGGGGGGACGAAGGAAGUGACGGUACCCCCGGAAGAAGGCCCGGCUAACUACGUGCCAGCAGCCGCGGUAAGACGUAGGGGCCGAGCGUUGUCCGGAGUUACUGGGCGUAAAGGGCGCGCAGGCGGCCGGUCGCAUCGGCGGUGAAAGCCCCCCGCUCAACGGGGGAGGGUCCGUCGAGAUGGAUCGGCUGGAGGCAGGGAGAGGGCGGUGGAAUUCCGGGUGUAGUGGUGAAAUGCGUAGAGAUCCGGAGGAACACCAGUGGCGAAGGCGGCCGCCUGGACCUGACCUGACGCUGAGGCGCGAAGGCGUGGGGAGCGAACGG
RNAcentral lists this ribosomal RNA (403 nucleotides) under uncultured bacterium. RNAcentral's name for it is "bacterial SSU rRNA". It matches the Rfam family "Bacterial small subunit ribosomal RNA", at positions 358 to 775 of the family's 1533-position model. The record is from RNAcentral.